Long non-coding RNA from Bombyx mori (domestic silkworm), 363 nucleotides. RefSeq lists it as uncharacterized. The record is from RefSeq and is a predicted model, not a curated record. NCBI's taxonomy places the organism in Eukaryota, Metazoa, Arthropoda, Insecta, Lepidoptera, Bombycidae. The transcript has 3 exons.
CUUUGUUUUCGCUACUGUUUUCUGUCCGUAUUAUAUGUAAUUAUUGUCAUAUGUGAUUUACACGAAUUUCGUUGGACGGAUCUGUUGUGGAAUUUUGUCUUUUGUUCGACAUAUUAUGUGCACAAAAGCGAUAACUAAUAAAUUAGAAAUUGGUCCGAAGAGCAGGGUCAUUAAAAAACUAUAUCAGUCAGUCGCCCCUCGAACUUUACUCAUCGGAAUAUUCCUGAAGAAAUAUUGGCCACGGUAAUGGAUAGCCUGUAUUGUUUUCUACUCAGAUUUAUGGAGGGAAGCAUGGUGAACUGAUUAGUUAAUAAGUUUUUGUAGAUUUUAUUGCUGAGCUUAAAUAAAUUAUUGAGCACAAAA